AUUGAACGCUGGCGGCAUGCCUUACACAUGCAAGUCGAACGGCAGCGCGGGAGCAAUCCUGGCGGCGAGUGGCGAACGGGUGAGUAAUAUAUCGGAACGUGCCCAGUAGUGGGGGAUGGCCCGGCGAAAGCCGGAUUAAUACCGCAUACGACCUGAGGGUGAAAGGGGGGGAUCGCAAGACCUCUCGCGAUUGGAGCGGCCGAUAUCAGAUUAGGUAGUUGGUGGGGUAAAGGCAUACCAAGCCUGCGAUCUGUAGUUGGUCUGAGAGGACGACCAGCCACACUGGGACUGAGACACGGCCCAGACUCCUACGGGAGGCAGCAGUGGGGAAUUUUGGACAAUGGGCGCAAGCCUGAUCCAGCAAUGCCGCGUGCAGGAAGAAGGCCUUCGGGUUGUAAACUGCUUUUGUCAGGGAAGAAAUCCCCUAGGCUAAUACCUUGGGGGGAUGACGGUACCUGAAGAAUAAGCACCGGCUAACUACGUGCCAGCAGCCGCGGUAA
RNAcentral lists this ribosomal RNA (500 nucleotides) under uncultured bacterium. Its description in RNAcentral is "partial 16S ribosomal RNA". It matches the Rfam family "Bacterial small subunit ribosomal RNA", at positions 29 to 523 of the family's 1533-position model. The record is from RNAcentral.